GGAUGCGAUCAUACCAGCACUAAAGCACCGGAUCCCAUCAGAACUUCGAAGUUAAGCGUGCUUGGGCGAGAGUAGUACUAGGAUGGGUGACCUCCUGGGAAGUCCUCGUGUUGCAUUCC
Molecule: non-coding RNA, 119 nt
Organism: Triticum aestivum (bread wheat)
Lineage: Eukaryota; Viridiplantae; Streptophyta; Magnoliopsida; Poales; Poaceae
Source: Rfam